AACGAACGCUGGCGGCAUGCCUAACACAUGCAAGUCGAACGAAGCCUUCGGGCUUAGUGGCGCACGGGUGCGUAAAGCGUGGGAAUCUGCCCUUGGGUUCGGCGUAACAGUUAGAAAUGACUGCUAAUACCGGAUGAUGUCUUCGGACCAAAGAUUUAUCGCCCAAGGAUGAGCCCGCGUAGGAUUAGGUAGUUGGUGGGGUAAGGGCCCACCAAGCCGACGAUCCUUAGCUGGUCUGAGAGGAUGAUCAGCCACACUGGGACUGAGACACGGCCCAGACUCCUACGGGAGGCAGCAGUGGGGAAUAUUGGACAAUGGGCGAAAGCCUGAUCCAGCAAUGCCGCGUGAGUGAUGAAGGCCUUAGGGUUGUAAAGCUCUUUUACCAGGGAUGAUAAUGACAGUACCUGGAGAAUAAGCUCCGGCUAACUCCGUGCCAGCAGCCGCCGUAA
Molecule: ribosomal RNA, 449 nt
Filed under: uncultured bacterium
Lineage: Bacteria
Description: partial 16S ribosomal RNA
Rfam family: Bacterial small subunit ribosomal RNA
Source: RNAcentral